CUUUUGAUACAUUUAUUUUGCAUUUAGCAUCUAUGCAGCAUAAUCGCAUCUCUGGAAAAACUCACUCACAUUCAAGAAGUCCUGCGCUGCGUUCGCUUUCAUCUUUGUCGGCUGGCUGUUUGUGGAGAUACUUGGAUAGCUGCUGGGUUUUCGACUGGGAAAACUGCGGGAAAACUGAAGGGAAGCACACAUGCAAACACUCACACACGGAUGAACAAUCGCUUUUCCUGCUGCCUGGAAAAACUGAGCCAACAAAAAUUGUUUUUAAUUGGCGCCCAAUUCGAAGCAAGCCCGAAAAUUAAACAAACAAUUUGAUGAGGCAAAGCCAAAAAUCGUAGAUGUGCAAUUGUUUCACAAUUUGAUCAUGAAAAUCCAUUUUCAUGGGGAAACAUCAACUUCAAAAUGCCAGCGAAAGUUUGGAAUUUCGAAAAAUCAUUUUUUCAAGGAUACUGUCAAGGAUCAAGGAUCAUGUGGGUAAAUGGCUUUCCAGGUAACUUUCACUGGCGUUUCCAGGAGCCUUUCCUACCUUUUACCAAAAAGCAAUUGCACUGGCACGCUGACUCAUGGACGGCAAUUUCAAAAGGAAUUUGAAAUCGAGCUGGGAACAACAAAUGCAACAAAAACAACAGAAACAGCAAGAAGUGCAACAACAAGAAAAGCGGCAGCAAUUGCAAUCAUUUACAUAAAAA
RNAcentral lists this small RNA (689 nucleotides) under Drosophila yakuba. RNAcentral describes it as "GE27854". Lineage: Eukaryota; Metazoa; Arthropoda; Insecta; Diptera; Drosophilidae. The record is from RNAcentral.